GGAUAGCUCAGUUGGUCGAGCAUGAGACUCUUAACCUCAGAGUCAUGAGUUUGAGCCGCAUGUUGGGCA
Non-coding RNA from Podarcis lilfordi (Lilford's wall lizard), 69 nucleotides. The record is from the annotation of a GenBank genome assembly. Lineage: Eukaryota; Metazoa; Chordata; Lepidosauria; Squamata; Lacertidae.